This 507-nucleotide ribosomal RNA is filed under the name uncultured bacterium. RNAcentral's name for it is "bacterial SSU rRNA". It matches the Rfam family "Bacterial small subunit ribosomal RNA", at positions 8 to 526 of the family's 1533-position model. The record is from RNAcentral.
AGAGUUUGAUCAUGGCUCAGAACGAACGCUAGCGGCAGGCUUAAUACAUGCAAGUCGAGGGGCAGCAGGGGUGUAGCAAUACACUCGCUGGCGACCGGCAAACGGGUGCGGAACACGUACGCAACCUACCCAUAACUGGGGAAUAGCUCGGGGAAACCCGGAUUAAUACCUCGUAACAUUAUGAAGUGGCAUCACUUUGUAAUUAUAGCUCCGGCGGUUAUGGAUGGGCGUGCGCCUGAUUAGGUAGUUGGCAGGGUAACGGCCUACCAAGCCUACGAUCAGUAACUGGUGUGAGAGCACGACCAGUCACACGGGCACUGAGACACGGGCCCGACUCCUACGGGAGGCAGCAGUAAGGAAUAUUGGUCAAUGGACGCAAGUCUGAACCAGCCAUGCCGCGUGAGUGAAGAAGGCCUUCGGGUUGUAAAGCUCUUUCGACGGGGACGAUGAUGACGGUACCCGUAUAAGAAGCCCCGGCAAACUUCGUGCCAGCAGCCGCGGUAAUUC